Molecule: long non-coding RNA, 391 nt
Organism: Coregonus clupeaformis (lake whitefish)
Lineage: Eukaryota; Metazoa; Chordata; Actinopteri; Salmoniformes; Salmonidae
Exons: 2
Source: RefSeq, a predicted model, not a curated record
GGGAAAGGAGAGGGAACAAGAGGGGAGGGGGUGUAUGGACCUCACUGGUUACGGGACCUACAGGCACCCCAAUUGUGCUCUCAUAAUUUCUGGAGGUGAGGACAAAAGAAAAGGAACAUUGGAGGAAAGGCCCGGGAUUUGAUUGUGAAGGGGCCCCCGACUCGCCGCCGCUGGUCGGGGUUGUCAAGACUACAGAGGGUGAGGGAAAAGCGGCGGAGCAGUCGACUCAAGACCGGGGUUUCCUGCCAGAGCAGCGGGAUUGUCACAAAACAACCCUUUACUCUUCGAUGGGCCUUAAGCGUUCCCAGAUUUCCACAGGGCUCCUAUAAACAACUGAAGAGAGAUGGACUCACAUGGAUGGAAAUACUGGAGAGAAACUGCAAAAGAAAAA